This 26-nucleotide non-coding RNA is filed under the name Cricetulus griseus (Chinese hamster). Lineage: Eukaryota; Metazoa; Chordata; Mammalia; Rodentia; Cricetidae. The record is from RNAcentral.
UACAAUGCAUCUGAGGCUGAAAAAUA